RNAcentral lists this transfer RNA (74 nucleotides) under Marmota marmota marmota (Alpine marmot). It matches the Rfam family "tRNA". From Rfam's summary of the family: Transfer RNA (tRNA) molecules are approximately 80 nucleotides in length. Their secondary structure includes four short double-helical elements and three loops (D, anti-codon, and T loops). The record is from Rfam by way of RNAcentral. Lineage: Eukaryota; Metazoa; Chordata; Mammalia; Rodentia; Sciuridae. RNAcentral also lists the same sequence under 1 other name.
GGGGUUGUGGCUCAGUGGUAGAGCACUUGCCUCGAGUGUGUGUGAGGCCCUGAGUUCGAUCCUCAGCACCACCU